Myotis lucifugus (little brown bat) is the source of this 338-nucleotide long non-coding RNA. RefSeq lists it as uncharacterized. The transcript is spliced from 3 exons. NCBI's taxonomy places the organism in Eukaryota, Metazoa, Chordata, Mammalia, Chiroptera, Vespertilionidae. The record is from RefSeq and is a predicted model, not a curated record.
GGGUGAAAACAGGCUCCCCAGCCCCAUCGACACCUGCUGAACCUGACUGCCAAGAUCUGCAUGCCCCUAAGAAGCCCGGAGAUGCCACCCGCCUGGGAAUGCCUUGAGAGUAGGGCAGCAUUACCUGGAGGAGAGGCCGAAGCAACCGCUCCAGCAUGUGAGGCAGGCAGCACCGUGUGUUACAUUCCUGAACUCUGGAGCCAGACUGCCUGGGCAGCUAUUUACAUACAGCGAUGAAGAGCUUCUCCUCCGUCUUCAGCGUGAUGGUUUCCAAAUCUUCAUGCCCAACAGGCUCUGUACCCAAAGCGUUCUCGGUGGCCACAAUCUGGGGAGCUGAU